RNAcentral lists this unclassified non-coding RNA (403 nucleotides) under uncultured fungus. RNAcentral describes it as "partial contains small subunit ribosomal RNA, internal transcribed spacer 1, and 5.8S ribosomal RNA". The stretch from base 1 to 73 matches the Rfam family "Eukaryotic small subunit ribosomal RNA", at positions 1759 to 1831 of the family's 1831-position model. Lineage: Eukaryota; Fungi. The record is from RNAcentral.
GCAAACUUGGUCAUUUAGAGGAAGUAAAAGUCGUAACAAGGUUUCCGUAGGUGAACCUGCGGAAGGAUCAUUAUCGAAUUGUAAGGAUUUUGGUUGUCGCUGGCUCAUUCUCUUGAGCAUGUGCACGCCUGGUCCAAACUUUUCACUUUAACCUCCUGUGCACCUUUUGUGAAUCAUGGAUUUGAUAAAUAUUCUCGAGUUGAAUUAUAUUCUUCUCGGUCUUGGGGUUUGUGCUUAACACGCACUCUCCUCUACAUAAUCCUUUUCAUGGUUCAUGUCUUUUCUACAUACUAUAUAUUUUAACCUAGAAUGCUUAAUAGUUGGGACUUUAGUGACCCUUCUUAAAUCUUAUACAACUUUCAACAACGGAUCUCUUGGCUCUCGCAUCGAUGAAGAACGCAGC